This 74-nucleotide transfer RNA is filed under the name Salmonella enterica subsp. enterica. RNAcentral's name for it is "tRNA-Arg". It matches the Rfam family "tRNA". From Rfam's summary of the family: Transfer RNA (tRNA) molecules are approximately 80 nucleotides in length. Their secondary structure includes four short double-helical elements and three loops (D, anti-codon, and T loops). Lineage: Bacteria; Pseudomonadati; Pseudomonadota; Gammaproteobacteria; Enterobacterales; Enterobacteriaceae. The record is from RNAcentral.
GCAUCCGUAGUCAGUUGAUAGAGUACUCGGCUACGAACCGAGCGGUCGGAGGUUCGAAUCCUCCGGAUGCACCA